Molecule: long non-coding RNA, 341 nt
Filed under: Homo sapiens (human)
Lineage: Eukaryota; Metazoa; Chordata; Mammalia; Primates; Hominidae
Description: HSALNT0211383
Source: RNAcentral
CCAUGUAAGAUAUGACUGUGCUCCUCCUUCACCUUCUGCCAUGAUUGUGAGGCCUCCACAGCCAUGUGGAACGGAAGCUGUUUUUCCCUCUUUGGGGUCUCAGAGAGAUUGGUGGCAAGGACUCCUGGGAAGAGAAAAGCUGAAGGACACUCUGGCAAGAGGAAACCCCGAGCCAAACGUAUGGCCACCUCUGACCACUCGACCAGCCCAGCAUGGUGUACAUUUCUGGGUAGCUUAUCACGCCUUCCAAGCAUUGCCUUUAUCUUCCUUCUCCCCAUCAAGCCUGUAUUGUUUUCCUUUUGAAUCAUAAGCACUUUUGUUAAAUACCUCAAAUCUUUCGA